GCACUGGUGGUUCAGUGGUAGAAUUUUCACCUUCCAUGCGGAGACCCAGGUUCAAUUCCUGGCCAGUACA
RNAcentral lists this transfer RNA (70 nucleotides) under Loxodonta africana (African savanna elephant). It matches the Rfam family "tRNA". From Rfam's summary of the family: Transfer RNA (tRNA) molecules are approximately 80 nucleotides in length. Their secondary structure includes four short double-helical elements and three loops (D, anti-codon, and T loops). Further hydrogen bonds mediate the characteristic L-shaped molecular structure. tRNAs have two regions of fundamental functional importance: the anti-codon, which is responsible for specific mRNA codon recognition, and the 3' end, to which the tRNAs corresponding amino acid is attached (by aminoacyl-tRNA synthetases). tRNAs cope with the degeneracy of the genetic code in two manners: having more than one tRNA (with a specific anti-codon) for a particular amino acid; and 'wobble' base-pairing, i.e. permitting non-standard base-pairing at the 3rd anti-codon position. Lineage: Eukaryota; Metazoa; Chordata; Mammalia; Proboscidea; Elephantidae. The record is from Rfam by way of RNAcentral.